AACUGUCAACAACGGAUCUCUUGGCUCUCGCAUCGAUGAAGAACGCAGCGAAAUGCGAUAAGUAAUGUGAAUUGCAGAAUUCAGUGAAUCAUCGAAUCUUUGAACGCACCUUGCGCUCCUUGGUAUUCCGAGGAGCAUGCCUGUUUGAGUGUCA
RNAcentral lists this ribosomal RNA (154 nucleotides) under uncultured fungus. Its description in RNAcentral is "partial 5.8S ribosomal RNA". It matches the Rfam family "5.8S ribosomal RNA". From Rfam's summary of the family: 5.8S ribosomal RNA (5.8S rRNA) is a component of the large subunit of the eukaryotic ribosome. The record is from RNAcentral. Lineage: Eukaryota; Fungi.